ACUAUAAUAGUUUAUUUAGAAUGUUAGCUUGUGGAGCUAGAGGAGUUGAUUAUUACUUUUAGUA
Molecule: transfer RNA, 64 nt
Filed under: Scolytinae sp. BMNH 1274282
Lineage: Eukaryota; Metazoa; Arthropoda; Insecta; Coleoptera; Curculionidae
Description: tRNA-His
Source: RNAcentral